AAAGUAGAAGCACCCUUAUGCUAUAGGAUCACCGACGAUGUGCUUUGGGAUAUCACUUCCCGGGCUACUGGAAAACUGCGGUCUUUGACCCUUCUUAAUUGCUGGAACAUCACUGACGCCGGUCUCUUCCGAGUCAUACGUGCCAAUCCUUGCAUCACCAAGGUACAGUUACAUAUUAAAAUAUUAGAUCACCCCGUAAUAAAAAAACACACAUGGUUGAUGAUUGAUGGUUGAUGGUUGAUGGUUGCAGGUGCAGAUUCCAGGAUGUCAUAAAGUGACAGGUGAUGGUGUGGUGAGUAUGAUGAGGUACCUGAAAAGUAAGGGCUAUAAUGAACUCAAUCAGCUCCGCCUCCAUGGGGUGCAAGAUGUAAAGAAAGAACACUUGGAGAUUCUGCAGCAUCUGCUUAGAGGUCAGACACCAUCUGUGGAGCCAAUUGAUGCAGAUGAG
RNAcentral lists this long non-coding RNA (448 nucleotides) under Zostera marina. RNAcentral describes it as "long non-coding RNA (ZMAR_LNC004436)". Lineage: Eukaryota; Viridiplantae; Streptophyta; Magnoliopsida; Alismatales; Zosteraceae. The record is from RNAcentral.